Molecule: ribosomal RNA, 474 nt
Filed under: uncultured bacterium
Lineage: Bacteria
Description: bacterial SSU rRNA
Rfam family: Bacterial small subunit ribosomal RNA
Source: RNAcentral
GAUGAACGCUAGCUACAGGCUUAACACAUGCAAGUCGAGGGGCAGCAUGCUGGUAGCUUGCUACCAGUGAUGGCGACCGGCGCACGGGUGAGUAACGCGUAUCCAACCUUCCCAUGACCAGGGAAUAACCUUGCGAAAGUAAGACUAAUGCCCUAUGGUUUCCUCAGCGGACAUCCAAAGAGGAAUAAAGAUUCAUCGGUGAUGGAUGGGGAUGCGUCUGAUUAGGUUGUUGGCGGGGUAACGGCCCACCAAAGCGACGAUCAGUAGCCGACCUGAGAGGGUGACCGGCCACAUUGGGACUGAGACACGGCCCAAACUCCUACGGGAGGCAGCAGUGGGGAAUAUUGCACAAUGGGGGAAACCCUGAUGCAGCGACGCCGCGUGAGCGAAGAAGUAUUUCGGUAUGUAAAGCUCUAUCAGCAGGGAANAUAGUGACGGUACCUGACUAGGAAGCCCCGGCUAACUACGUGCCAG